This 21-nucleotide non-coding RNA is filed under the name Caenorhabditis elegans. The record is from RNAcentral. Lineage: Eukaryota; Metazoa; Nematoda; Chromadorea; Rhabditida; Rhabditidae.
UAGUUGUGAUUUACGUACUAG